RNAcentral lists this ribosomal RNA (350 nucleotides) under uncultured soil bacterium. Its description in RNAcentral is "bacterial SSU rRNA". It matches the Rfam family "Bacterial small subunit ribosomal RNA", at positions 26 to 378 of the family's 1533-position model. The record is from RNAcentral.
AGAUUGAACGCUGGCGGCAUGCCUUACACAUGCAAGUCGAACGGCAGCGCGGGGGCAACCCUGGCGGCGAGUGGCGAACGGGUGAGUAAUAUAUCGGAACGUGCCCUGGAGUGGGGGAUAACGUAGCGAAAGUUACGCUAAUACCGCAUACGAUCUAAGGAUGAAAGUGGGGGAUCGCAAGACCUCAUGCUCCUGGAGCGGCCGAUAUCUGAUUAGCUAGUUGGUAGGGUAAAAGCCUACCAAGGCAUCGAUCAGUAGCUGGUCUGAGAGGACGACCAGCCACACUGGGACUGAGACACGGCCCAGACUCCUACGGGAGCAGCAGUGGGGAAGUUUUGGACAAGUGGGGG